RNAcentral lists this ribosomal RNA (492 nucleotides) under uncultured bacterium. RNAcentral's name for it is "bacterial SSU rRNA". It matches the Rfam family "Bacterial small subunit ribosomal RNA", at positions 30 to 521 of the family's 1533-position model. The record is from RNAcentral.
AUUGAACGCUGGCGGAAUGCUUUACACAUGCAAGUCGAACGGUAGAGGGGGCAACCCCUUGAGAGUGGCGAACGGGUGAGUAAUAUAUCGGAACGUGCCCAGUCGUGGGGAUAACGUAGCGAAAGUUACGCUAAUACCGCAUACGAUCUAAGGAUGAAAGCGGGGGAUCGCAAGACCUCGCGCGAUUGGAGCGGCCGAUAUCAGAUUAGGUAGUUGGUGAGGUAAAGGCUCACCAAGCCAACGAUCUGUAGCUGGUCUGAGAGGACGACCAGCCACACUGGAACUGAGACACGGUCCAGACUCCUACGGGAGGCAGCAGUGGGGAAUUUUGGACAAUGGACGCAAGUCUGAUCCAGCCAUUCCGCGUGCAGGAUGAAGGCCCUCGGGUUGUAAACUGCUUUUGUACGGAACGAAAGGUUUCUAUUAAUACUAGGAGCUCAUGACGGUACCGUAAGAAUAAGCACCGGCUAACUACGUGCCAGCAGCCGCGGU